RNAcentral lists this ribosomal RNA (420 nucleotides) under uncultured bacterium. Its description in RNAcentral is "bacterial SSU rRNA". It matches the Rfam family "Bacterial small subunit ribosomal RNA", at positions 86 to 518 of the family's 1533-position model. The record is from RNAcentral.
GGUGACUGAGUGGCGGACGGGUGAGUAACGCGUGGGUAACCUGCCCUGUACAGGGGGAGUAACAGUUACGAAAUAGACUGCUAAUACCGCAUAAGCGCACGAUGGUAGCAUUACCAGGUGUGAAAAACUCCGGUGGUACAGGAUGGGCCCGCGUCUGAUUAGCUAGUUGGCGGGUAAGAGCCCACCAAGGCGACGAUCAGUAGCCGGUCUGAGAGGAUGAACGGCCACAUUGGAACUGAGACACGGUCCAAACUCCUACGGGAGGCAGCAGUGGGGAAUAUUGCACAAUGGGGGGAACCCUGAUGCAGACCAACGCCGCGUGAGUGACGAAGUAUUUCGGUAUGUAAAGCUCUAUCAGCAGGGAAGUAUAAUGACGGUACCUGACUAAGAAGCUCCGGCUAAAUACGUGCCAGCAGCCGC